Molecule: ribosomal RNA, 790 nt
Filed under: uncultured Archangiaceae bacterium
Lineage: Bacteria; Pseudomonadati; Myxococcota; Myxococcia; Myxococcales; Archangiaceae
Description: bacterial SSU rRNA
Rfam family: Bacterial small subunit ribosomal RNA
Source: RNAcentral
GCCGAGCGCGAAUGGAGCAAUCCUAGUAGAGCGGCGCACGGGUGCGUAACACGUGGGUAAUCUGCCUGGAAGAUCGGAAUAACCUGCCGAAAGGCAAGCUAAUACCGGAUAAGCCCACAGGGUCUUCGGACCUCGAGGGAAAAGAUGGCCUCUGUACACAAGCUAUCACUUCCAGAUGAGCCCGCGGCCCAUCAGCUAGUUGGCGGGGUAAUGGCCCACCAAGGCAACGACGGGUAGCUGGUCUGAGAGGACGAUCAGCCACACUGGAACUGAGACACGGUCCAGACUCCUACGGGAGGCAGCAGUGGGGAAUUUUGCGCAAUGGGCGAAAGCCUGACGCAGCAACGCCGCGUGUGUGAUGAAGGUCUUCGGAUUGUAAAGCACUUUCGACCGGGACGAAAACCCGUUGGCUAACAUCCAACGGCUUGACGGUACCGGGAGAAGAAGCACCGGCUAACUCUGUGCCAGCAGCCGCGGUAAUACAGAGGGUGCAAGCGUUGUUCGGAAUUAUUGGGCGUAAAGCGCGUGUAGGCGGCUUUGCAAGUCGGGUGUGAAAGCCCUCAGCUUAACUGAGGAAGUGCGCCCGAAACUGCAGAGCUUGAGUACCGGAGAGGAUGGUGGAAUUCCCCAAGUAGAGGUGAAAUUCGUAGAUAUGGGGAGGAACACCGGUGGCGAAGGCGACCAUCUGGACGGAUACUGACGCUGAGACGCGAAAGCGUGGGUAGCAAACAGGAUUAGAUACCCUGGUAGUCCACGCCGUAAACGAUGAGAACUAGGUGUCGUGGGUGUU